AAAUUGAAGAGUUUGAUCAUGGCUCAGAUUGAACGCUGGCGGCAGGCCUAACACAUGCAAGUCGAACGGUAACAGGAAGCAGCUUGCUGCUUUGCUGACGAGUGGCGGACGGGUGAGUAAUGUCUGGGAAACUGCCUGAUGGAGGGGGAUAACUACUGGAAACGGUGGCUAAUACCGCAUAACGUCGCAAGACCAAAGAGGGGGACCUUCGGGCCUCUUGCCAUCAGAUGUGCCCAGAUGGGAUUAGCUUGUUGGUGAGGUAACGGCUCACCAAGGCGACGAUCCCUAGCUGGUCUGAGAGGAUGACCAGCCACACUGGAACUGAGACACGGUCCAGACUCCUACGGGAGGCAGCAGUGGGGAAUAUUGCACAAUGGGCGCAAGCCUGAUGCAGCCAUGCCGCGUGUAUGAAGAAGGCCUUCGGGUUGUAAAGUACUUUCAGCGGGGAGGAAGGUGUUGUGGUUAAUAACCGCAGCAAUUGACGUUACCCGCAGAAGAAGCACCGGCUAACUCCGUGCCAGCAGCCGCGGUAAUACGGAGGGUGCAAGCGUUAAUCGGAAUUACUGGGCGUAAAGCGCACGCAGGCGGUCUGUCAAGUCGGAUGUGAAAUCCCCGGGCUCAACCUGGGAACUGCAUUCGAAACUGGCAGGCUUGAGUCUUGUAGAGGGGGGUAGAAUUCCAGGUGUAGCGGUGAAAUGCGUAGAGAUCUGGAGGAAUACCGGUGGCGAAGGCGGCCCCCUGGACAAAGACUGACGCUCAGGUGCGAAAGCGUGGGGAGCAAACAGGAUUAGAUACCCUGGUAGUCCACGCCGUAAACGAUGUCUACUUGGAGGUUGUGCCCUUGAGGCGUGGCUUCCGGAGCUAACGCGUUAAGUAGACCGCCUGGGGAGUACGGCCGCAAGGUUAAAACUCAAAUGAAUUGACGGGGGCCCGCACAAGCGGUGGAGCAUGUGGUUUAAUUCGAUGCAACGCGAAGAACCUUACCUGGUCUUGACAUCCACAGAACUUUCCAGAGAUGGAUUGGUGCCUUCGGGAACUGUGAGACAGGUGCUGCAUGGCUGUCGUCAGCUCGUGUUGUGAAAUGUUGGGUUAAGUCCCGCAACGAGCGCAACCCUUAUCCUUUGUUGCCAGCGAUUAGGUCGGGAACUCAAAGGAGACUGCCAGUGAUAAACUGGAGGAAGGUGGGGAUGACGUCAAGUCAUCAUGGCCCUUACGACCAGGGCUACACACGUGCUACAAUGGCGCAUACAAAGAGAAGCGACCUCGCGAGAGCAAGCGGACCUCAUAAAGUGCGUCGUAGUCCGGAUUGGAGUCUGCAACUCGACUCCAUGAAGUCGGAAUCGCUAGUAAUCGUGGAUCAGAAUGCCACGGUGAAUACGUUCCCGGGCCUUGUACACACCGCCCGUCACACCAUGGGAGUGGGUUGCAAAAGAAGUAGGUAGCUUAACCUUCGGGAGGGCGCUUACCACUUUGUGAUUCAUGACUGGGGUGAAGUCGUAACAAGGUAACCGUAGGGGAACCUGCGGUUGGAUCACCUCCUUA
RNAcentral lists this ribosomal RNA (1542 nucleotides) under Salmonella enterica subsp. enterica serovar Oranienburg. RNAcentral's name for it is "bacterial SSU rRNA". It matches the Rfam family "Bacterial small subunit ribosomal RNA". Lineage: Bacteria; Pseudomonadati; Pseudomonadota; Gammaproteobacteria; Enterobacterales; Enterobacteriaceae. The record is from RNAcentral. RNAcentral also lists the same sequence under 84 other names.